Molecule: transfer RNA, 73 nt
Filed under: Camelus bactrianus (Bactrian camel)
Lineage: Eukaryota; Metazoa; Chordata; Mammalia; Artiodactyla; Camelidae
Also listed under: 2 other names
Rfam family: tRNA
About the family: Transfer RNA (tRNA) molecules are approximately 80 nucleotides in length. Their secondary structure includes four short double-helical elements and three loops (D, anti-codon, and T loops).
Source: Rfam by way of RNAcentral
GAGGGUGUAGCUCAAUUGGUAAUGUGCAUGCUUAGCAUGCAUGAGGACCUGGGUUCAAUCCCCAGUACCUCCU